CCUACGGGAGGCUGCAGUGGGGAAUAUUGGGCAAUGGGCGCAAGCCUGACCCAGCAACGCCGCGUGAAGGAAGAAGGCUUUCGGGUUGUAAACUUCUUUUAAGAGGGAAGAGCAGAAGACGGUACCUCUUGAAUAAGCCACGGCUAACUACGUGCCAGCAGCCGCGGUAAUACGUAGGUGGCAAGCGUUGUCCGGAUUUACUGGGUGUAAAGGGCGUGCAGCCGGGAAGACAAGUCAGAUGUGAAAUCCCGCGGCUCAACCGCGGAACUGCAUUUGAAACUGUUUUUCUUGAGUACCGGAGAGGUCAUCGGAAUUCGUGGUGUAGCGGUGAAAUGCGUAGAUAUAAGGAAGAACACCGAUGGCGAAGGCAGAUGACUGGACGGCAACUGACGGUGAGGCGCGAAAGCGUGGGGAGCAAACAGGAUUAGAUACCCCAGUAGUC
RNAcentral lists this ribosomal RNA (442 nucleotides) under uncultured bacterium. Its description in RNAcentral is "partial 16S ribosomal RNA". It matches the Rfam family "Bacterial small subunit ribosomal RNA", at positions 338 to 795 of the family's 1533-position model. The record is from RNAcentral.